Molecule: long non-coding RNA, 520 nt
Organism: Oxyura jamaicensis (ruddy duck)
Lineage: Eukaryota; Metazoa; Chordata; Aves; Anseriformes; Anatidae
Exons: 3
Source: RefSeq, a predicted model, not a curated record
CUGAACCUUUGGUAUCCAGUCCCCGAUAAGCACAAUAGGCAAUGAUAAGCGAAAGCAGGGGGAAAAAAGUAAAAAAUAAAACACACAAAAAUUUCCUUUGGGCAGAUACCAGCAGGUAAAUUGGUAGAGAAGAGGGAGCUUCAGUCUACUCACGCCAAAGAAGCAGAGCAGUGUAAUGCAUGUUUUCUGCCUGGAGAGGCUACUGGAGGAUAGGAAGUGUGUCUGUGGUGCCAGGGGAAGGAGGAGAAAGAAAGGAUGUGUCUGUUGGUGCUAUGCAGGUUUAUCCUACUAGCUCUACUCUUUAACUAGCUCUACUCUGGUCUUGUGGAGCCCUUUGUGGUACAAUACGUGAGGUAUGCUCCUGGAGCACACUUUCCACUUCAGUUUCAUCUGGAACGAAUCUGGCUCAUACUCAACAAAAGAGAUCCAUAAUGGGAAAGAAAGAACAGUUGUGCUGUGCAGCUGUGAUACCAGAUCUUUAAUCAUAGUGACAAGCACAGAGGCUCUAUGCGAAUGUAAG